Non-coding RNA from Coffea arabica (coffee), 1170 nucleotides. The record is from RefSeq and is a predicted model, not a curated record. NCBI's taxonomy places the organism in Eukaryota, Viridiplantae, Streptophyta, Magnoliopsida, Gentianales, Rubiaceae.
UGGUCAUCUCCCCCUUUCGGCCUUCCUGGAUCUCAGAGAAGUCUGUAAUAGAGUAGAAGAAGGAACUUUAAAAAGACAUUUUACUCCUGAACUAAAUCAAUCUUCGUAGAGUGACGUCAUCAGCUCAUGUGGCUUCAACGCCCAUACCGGCAGCUCGGUGAAGGAUUUCGUAAAAUUCUCCUCUGUUGCGCUACACAAGGCUUCGGCCACAUCGCACAGCCUUGCUACAUCUCCAAUUAUAGAUUUUUGGGCUUCCGUCUGCAAGAGAAGUUCAUUGACAAGAUGCUGGCAAGCGGAGUCCGACGAUUGUUCCGGAGGGACUGGGGAAGUCGUUGUGACUCGGUGUUCGACAAAUGUACCCACUGUUCGAUCUCUUGUUGGUACUUGUGUUUGAGCUUGAGAAGAGCUCUUUUCUUCCUUUGCCGGCGGUUCUGCUCUUCAACGGCCGGAUCCGAUAGUCCCGGUGCCGAAGUAGAGGAAGGAAGGUCGACACGAGGACGUUUCCUAUGUUUGUAGACGAAACCGUCAUCGUUGAUGAGUUCCCACUCAUCGUCAGGUUCCCAGCUCACUGGGGUGGUGGCCAUUGGGCUUCUCCCCCUCGUUCUUUCCUUCAAUUGCCAAGAAGGGUAAAUCAUUUGAAGCUCAAGAACAAUACAAGGAAGCUCUUGUUGCAUUCUCAGUUUCACUCUCCAUAGAGCCAGAUUAUGUACCAAGCAUUGUCUCAAGUGCUGGAGUGCUGAUAAAAUUGGGUAGACAGAAUCUUCCUAUUGCAAGAAGCUUGUUGAUGACUGCUCUCUAACUAGAGCCGACAAACCACCAUGCGUGGUUCCUUCUUGGAGUGCUAUCCAAGUCUCAAGGCUUGAAACAAGCAGCCGCAGAUUACUUCCAAGCUGUACAUGAACUAAAGCUUUCUGCUCCUGUUCAAGACUUUGCUUAACAACGCAUUGAGCACCAAGGUUCCAGAGAUAAAGGAACUUCUAUUUGGAACUUUAAAUGUUGGUUUUGGUUGUUAUAUACUGACAGUGUAGAUAAUUAGUUACAUUAGCUGGUGUUGGUUUUGGCUUUUGAUUAGCUAUGUUAGUACUUGUUGCUGAUUUUAGUUCAACAAAUGAUAUUUGAGCAUUGAUUUUUGCUUUUAAAUUACUACAUGCAUUCUGUUCUUUGGGAUAA